Molecule: ribosomal RNA, 243 nt
Filed under: Triticum aestivum (bread wheat)
Lineage: Eukaryota; Viridiplantae; Streptophyta; Magnoliopsida; Poales; Poaceae
Description: partial small subunit ribosomal RNA
Source: RNAcentral
AUGGCGACGCCGCUACGGGACCCCCUGCCUACCUCGGCAUGCCUAGUCCGUGCCACAUGGUGGCCGAGAUGCGGCCGCCCAUGCUCUGUCGGUGCCGUCUCAUCCUCUUCAUCAAGAGGAGGCAUCUCUGUCGGACCACGCCUCCCCAUCUACUGCACUCUAAUGGUGGAUGAGGCCGAGGUGAGCAUCAUGACGAUGAGCAGGCCUGUGGCUGAUACAGAGAGCUCCUCGAACGGGAAGUAG